AGUCUGUGUGCUGACACCGUUACCCAGGUGAUUCAAAUGCACAACAAUGUUGGGAAGCUGUAGGGUACUUGUUCAGGUUGAAUGGUACCGAAAGAGAGCUGACAGUAAUAUCUUGAGAUGACAGCACAGUGUAAAGCAAGGUUUUUCAGAACAAGGGAGAUGCACACAGGUUUUUAGUCAGAAAGAAAGGGACAGGAGGAGCGGAAGAUGCUCAAAAGGGGAAGAGAGAGUUGAUGAAGAAAGUGGAUGGAACCAGGAGCCCGAAGAGAGAAGCUUCUCCCUCUGCAGGAGGGAAGGAGGAUGCCGGGAGAAGGGAGGAAGGUGCGGUCACAGAAAGUGGAGAAAAGGUGGUUGCUUUCUUACAUAAUGCACAGCCUUGAGGACAGGGGCUGGCAUCGAUCUUCUAUUUUUGGACCAUCCUAAGACACUGCUGCACCUUAGUAAUGAUUCAUGGAAGGAAAAGAGGAUAUCACAAGAAAAGAUUUGCAAAGCGUCUCUGCUGUUGAAAUGGAUGUAACAAAAAGGUAUGAGAGUUAAUACAACAACCUGCAGGCCAGAUGCUGCUGCUUCAUGUUUGAUUUCCAAAAGAAAACCAUGAAAACCUUUCAUUGUAAAAAUGAUUGGCAUCCUUUGAAAAGCUCAAGAGGAGAAACAUGUCCUGGAAUUUUUAAAGGAGAUAAAGUCUUUCUUCCCUUGACUUUCUUUGCCUCAUGCUCUUAAAAUCGGAAGAAAUCUUUUGAACCAGAACUUUUUUAAGAAGAUAGAAAAAAGUUUGUGCCUUCCCAAUGGCAGAAGCAUGGGAGAGAGUAUGUAUGGGAACUGUGUGCUGAGCAGUAGGGAGGAGAACCAACUAAAGGUGAAGGAAAAGUACAAAAAAGAGAGAUUUUGCACACCAAAGAGAAAUCUCUCCUGUUUCACAAGUUUUAUCAGGGUGGCCCUAAAAUGUUUUCCUUCAAUUCAUGUGAGUUUAAUAUUCAAGGUAUGUGAAUAGCCCAGUAGAUGCUUGUAAACUUGUUUUAAAAAUAGUUCUAGGAGGCCGGCCGGGUGGCGCAGCGGUUAAGUGCGCACGUUCACCACCUCUGAGCGGCCUGGGGUUCGCCGGCUCGGAUCCCGGGUGCGGACAUGGCACCGCUUGCCACGCCAUGCUGUGGUAGGAGUCCCACAUAUAAAAUAGAGGAAGAUGGGCACGAUGUUAGCUCAGGGCCAGGCUUCCUCAGCAAAAAGAGGAGGACUGGCAGUAGUUAGCUCAGGGCUAAUCUUCCUCAAAAAAAAAAAAAAAAAAGUUCUAAUUUUUUUCCCAUGGUUUUCAUUUUUGCUGUCAUGAAAAUUCAAUUUUUCAAUACCCCUCUUGGAGUUAAGAUUUAAAAUAUGCUUUCUUUUUCUUUCUUAUUUUUUUUCCCAACUGAUUGUGAAAUAAAGCAAAAACAUAAUGUGCUUUGUCCCCUAGGCAGGGUUUGAGGGUUUUUUAAUCCAAUGCAAAUAUAGUAAGUUGAUUGGAAUAUAUCCAGAAUCUUACAUCGUUUGUCAAACAAAUACUCAUGCCAUGUCUGCUUCAAAGUCAAUGCUCCUAGCAAUUUUCACUUGACAACAAAACUGUUUUCAUGAAAUUUCACAUUUGAGAUUUUUACGUAAGUUGACAUUGAGAAAUCUUAACUUGUUCUCAUCUGCUUGGCUUCAAUUUAAAACCUUAUAAUUUAAGAAGAUAGUUGCAGAAACAAAAAUCCACCUCGAGCAUGAGAAGGCUAAGUCAUAGUUGCCGUGACAAUGUGCCUUGCCUCUCCUGGCUCUGUUGGGAAUGGUGCUCUGUCAUCACUUCACCGAAGAAUCUGUAGGUACUUUCUGCCACCAGAGCUGUUCCUCAAGAUAGUUUCAAUGAAUGGAACGAGCAUCUCACCUAAGUGGAAAAUUCCUGUCCUUGACAUAUACCAACAGGACCAUUUCAACUGACCUCGUCUCUCAUCAACAGAGUGAUUAAGAAUUAUCUUUCAGAAAAUUUGCAAAGUCACGUAGCCAGAGCAUAUGCAGAAGAAGAAACCUUGAUGGGAAAGGAACAUAGAACCAAAACUCUCCUCCACCCAGAACCAGAGGACCAGGACAUGACCGGAACUUAAAAGUCGGACUCUUAUCAGAAGUGAGGGGUCCCUCAUUCCAGAAGAUCCGAUGUUAAAAUUCCUUCCCCACCUCAUCAAAAAUGUUUAGGAGCCUGUCGUAAAAGUUUAGAACCCCAUCACAAAUGUUUAGAACCCGGUCAUACAUGUUUAGAACCUUUCUAUCAAUGCUUGAAGCCCACUAAUCAAAACCUGUCCCCAGCGUUUCCACGUGCCGGGCUGUUCUCCCUAACUUCUUACAUUUUGCCCUAAAUCCUGAAUCCAGGAGACAGAUCUGAGGGCACACGCCCCCUGUCUUCCUGCAGAUUGAUCUUGAAGCAUAAAUCUGCUCUCUUUUCCCAAAGGCUGAUGCCGUAAUUAGCUGGCUUGUUUAUGUGCGUCAAGUAGGAGAACCCCAUUUUUGUGCAGUAACGUUUUGGGGAUU
This 2532-nucleotide long non-coding RNA is filed under the name Equus caballus (horse). RNAcentral's name for it is "lncRNA (ENSECAG00000052549.1)". The record is from RNAcentral. Lineage: Eukaryota; Metazoa; Chordata; Mammalia; Perissodactyla; Equidae.